AAUUAAAACAACAAGUACCGUGAGGGAAAGUUGCAAAGAACUUUGAAGAGAGAGUUCAAAAGUACGUGAAACUGCUCAGAGGUAAACGGGUGGGCCCUCGAAAUCCUGUGGCGAGAGGAUUCAGUCUGGCUCGGCGGACGCGUUGGCGGAAAUCGAGCAGGGCUUCCCCUGAAGGGGGCCGUCCGCCUUCGCGACUUUCGUCGUUCCAGACGCAUUUGUCUCUCGUCCCGAGGACGCUGCAGCCGGUCUGGCAGUGCAAACGUGACGGCCUGAAGGUCGGGAGAUGGCAGGUGGCCGGUGGCCCGCCUCGUGCGGGUCGUCGGUUGUUAGCCGUCCCGUCAGUGGCCCGUCGCCAGACCGUGGUGUCGCGAGUCCCUCCUGGGACUCCUCGUCUCCACCCCAGAGUCGCGGGACAGAUCGUGGCAAGGGUGUCGUGCUCUUCCGUCGCACCCCCUCGGUGUGGACGGAGAAGUACGGUGCCCCGUUGGCCGCGGCGGAUCCGUCGGGGACCGGAGGCUGGCAGCGAGUAGGUCGGUCACCCACCCGACCCGUCUUGAAACACGGACCAAGGAGUCUAACAUGUGCGCGAGUCAAUGGGUCUUGACUAGGCCCAGGGGCGCAAUGAAAGCGAAGGACGGCCUCGUGUCGUCCCAGCGGGGAUCCCCCUUCCUCGGAGGGGGGCGCACCCGCGACCCGUCCUGUGCGGCUCGCCGCUUUGGCGGAGUCUGAGCGUACACGUUGGGACCCGAAAGAUGGUGAACUAUGCCCGGGCAGAAUAAAGCCAGAGGAAACUCUGGUGGAGGUUCGCAGCGGUUCUGACGUGCAAAUCGAUCGUCAGACCCGGGUAUAGGGGCAAAAAAAAA
This 863-nucleotide ribosomal RNA is filed under the name Siler cupreus. RNAcentral describes it as "eukaryotic LSU rRNA". It matches the Rfam family "Eukaryotic large subunit ribosomal RNA", at positions 318 to 933 of the family's 3401-position model. Lineage: Eukaryota; Metazoa; Arthropoda; Arachnida; Araneae; Salticidae. The record is from RNAcentral.